This is a long non-coding RNA of Etheostoma spectabile (orangethroat darter), 204 nucleotides long. RefSeq lists it as uncharacterized. The transcript has 3 exons. Lineage: Eukaryota; Metazoa; Chordata; Actinopteri; Perciformes; Percidae. The record is from RefSeq and is a predicted model, not a curated record.
GCCACGUCCACACAUAACAAAACGUUCUUUUUGUUCCCGUCUUCCCUGGCAUCGUGUCAAGAAUACUUGCAUCCAUAACGAUCCAUUUGUAAAUGACUCAACAUGCUACUUCAUAUUCCAGGCGUAUAGGUAGCGCUGUUUCUGCUACAGAAAUUCACCAACUAACGGAGAAGAAGAGGCGGAUCAUGCAUAAAGCAUAAACAG